GCAUAACGCGAAGAACCUUACCUACCCUUGACAUGUCAGAGAUCCCUGAGAGAUUGGGGAGUGCCGCAAGGAAUCUGAACACAGGUGCUGCAUGGCUGUCGUCAGCUCGUGUCGUGAGAUGUUGGGUUAAGUCCCGCAACGAGCGCAACCCUUGUCGUUAAUUGCCAUCAUUUGGUUGAGCACUUUAACGAGACUGCCGGUGACAAACCGGAGGAAGGUGGGGAUGACGUCAAGUCCUCAUGGCCCUUAUGGGUAGGGCUUCACACGUCAUACAAUGGUCGGUACAGAGGGUUGCGAAGCCGCGAGGUGGAGCCAAUCCCAGAAAGCCGAUCGUAGUCCGGAUUGGAGGCUGCAACUCGCCUCCAUGAAGUCGGAAUCGCUAGUAAUCGCGGAUCAGCAUGUCGCGGUGAAUACGUUCCCGGGUCUUGUACACACCG
Molecule: ribosomal RNA, 437 nt
Filed under: uncultured bacterium
Lineage: Bacteria
Description: bacterial SSU rRNA
Rfam family: Bacterial small subunit ribosomal RNA
Source: RNAcentral